This 34-nucleotide small RNA is filed under the name Arabidopsis thaliana (thale cress). RNAcentral describes it as "ATSL093580". The record is from RNAcentral. Lineage: Eukaryota; Viridiplantae; Streptophyta; Magnoliopsida; Brassicales; Brassicaceae.
UUGAAAGAUUCUCUUCUCAUGUGUUCCAAAUUUA